This is a small nucleolar RNA of Phoenix dactylifera (date palm), 212 nucleotides long. RefSeq annotates it as small nucleolar RNA U3. The record is from RefSeq and is a predicted model, not a curated record. NCBI's taxonomy places the organism in Eukaryota, Viridiplantae, Streptophyta, Magnoliopsida, Arecales, Arecaceae.
ACGACCUUACUUGAACGGGAUCUGUUCUAUAGGUUCGUACAACCGUAUUCUUGAUUGCUAAGUUGACGGGCAACUCUGUCUGGUAGAUGACACGUAACCUUGGGAUUAGAGCGUGAUUAGCGGUGACGAUCUCUUGGGAUCGGUACUGUCGAGGAUCGUUCCUAUCUCUUGUUCUCAGGGGAUGGGGUGGUCCCGAGGUUGUCUGACAGACC